UACGGAGGAUCCAAGCGUUAUCCGGAAUCAUUGGGUUUAAAGGGCGCGUAGGCGGCUUGAUAAGGUUGCGGUGAAAGCCCGGGGCUCAACCCCGGGUCGGCCGUGGCAACUGUCGAGCUGGAGCACUGUAGAGGCAGGUGGAAUUCCGGGUGUAGCGGUGGAAUGCGUAGAGAUCCGGAAGAACACCGGUGGCGAAGGCGGCCUGCUGGGCAGUGGCUGACGCUGAGGCGCGACAGCGUGGGGGAGCAAACAGG
This 254-nucleotide ribosomal RNA is filed under the name uncultured bacterium. Its description in RNAcentral is "partial 16S ribosomal RNA". It matches the Rfam family "Bacterial small subunit ribosomal RNA", at positions 524 to 776 of the family's 1533-position model. The record is from RNAcentral.